CGAGCGGCGGACGGCUGAGUAACGCGUGGGAACAUACCCUAAAGUGAGGGAUAACUACUCGAAAGAGUGGCUAAUACCGCAUAUGAUCUUCGGAUUAAAGCAUUUAUGCGCUUUAGGAAUGGCCUGCGUACGAUUAGAUAGUUGGUGAGGUAAAGGCUCACCGAGUCGACGAUCGUUAGAUGGUUUGAGAGGAUGAUCAUCCAGACUGGGACUGAGACACGGCCCAGACUCCUACGGGAGGCAGCAG
Molecule: ribosomal RNA, 247 nt
Filed under: uncultured bacterium
Lineage: Bacteria
Description: partial 16S ribosomal RNA
Rfam family: Bacterial small subunit ribosomal RNA
Source: RNAcentral